AACGAACGCUGGCGGCAUGCCUAACACAUGCAAGUCGAACGAGAUCUUCGGGUCUAGUGGCGCACGGGUGCGUAACGCGUGGGGAUCUGCCCUUUGGUUCGGAAUAACAGUUGGAAACGACUGCUAAUACCGGAUGAUGACGAAAGUCCAAAGAUUUAUCGCCAGAGGAUGAGCCCGCGUAGGAUUAGCUAGUUGGUGUGGUAAAGGCGCACCAAGGCGACGAUCCUUAGCUGGUCUGAGAGGAUGAUCAGCCACACUGGGACUGAGACACGGCCCAGACUCCUACGGGUGGCAGCAGUGGGGAAUAUUGGACAAUGGGCGAAAGCCUGAUCCAGCAAUGCCGCGUGGGUGAUGAAGGCCUUAGGGUUGUAAAGCUCUUUUACCCGGGAUGAUAAUGACAGUACCGGGAGAAUAAGCUCCGGCUAACUCCGUGCCAGCCGCCGCGGUAA
Molecule: ribosomal RNA, 449 nt
Filed under: uncultured bacterium
Lineage: Bacteria
Description: partial 16S ribosomal RNA
Rfam family: Bacterial small subunit ribosomal RNA
Source: RNAcentral